CAAGAGGUAGUUUAAAUAAAAUAUUAAUUUUGGAGAUUAAUGAUAAAGUGAUACUUUCUUCUUGA
RNAcentral lists this transfer RNA (65 nucleotides) under Hypoderma sinense. RNAcentral's name for it is "tRNA-Pro". The record is from RNAcentral. Lineage: Eukaryota; Metazoa; Arthropoda; Insecta; Diptera; Oestridae.